GAUGAAGAACGUAGCGAAAUGCGAUAAGUAGUGUGAAUUGCAGAAUUCAAUGAAUCAUCGAAUCUUUGAACGCACAUUGCGCCCUUUGGUAUUCCUUAGGGCAUGCCUGUUCGAGCGUCAUUUAAACCUUCAAGCUCAGCUUGGUGUUGGGUGACUGUCCGCUUCACCGCGGACUCGCCUCAAAAUUAUUGGCGGCCGGUACAUUGGCUUCGAGCGCAGCAGAAACGCGAACUCGGGCCCGUCGUAUUGGCUCCCAGAAGCUAUCUUCACAAUUUUGACCUCGGAUCAGGUAGGGAUACCCGCUGAACUUAAGCAUAUCAAUAAGCGGAGGA
RNAcentral lists this unclassified non-coding RNA (332 nucleotides) under soil metagenome. Its description in RNAcentral is "partial contains 5.8S ribosomal RNA, internal transcribed spacer 2, and large subunit ribosomal RNA". The stretch from base 1 to 120 matches the Rfam family "5.8S ribosomal RNA", at positions 35 to 154 of the family's 154-position model. The record is from RNAcentral.